AAAUUGAAGAGUUUGAUCAUGGCUCAGAUUGAACGCUGGCGGCAGGCCUAACACAUGCAAGUCGAGCGGUAGCACAGAGAGCUUGCUCUCGGGUGACGAGCGGCGGACGGGUGAGUAAUGUCUGGGAAACUGCCUGAUGGAGGGGGAUAACUACUGGAAACGGUAGCUAAUACCGCAUAAUGUCGCAAGACCAAAGUGGGGGACCUUCGGGCCUCAUGCCAUC
This 223-nucleotide ribosomal RNA is filed under the name Pseudomonas aeruginosa. RNAcentral describes it as "partial 16S ribosomal RNA". It matches the Rfam family "Bacterial small subunit ribosomal RNA", at positions 1 to 222 of the family's 1533-position model. The record is from RNAcentral. Lineage: Bacteria; Pseudomonadati; Pseudomonadota; Gammaproteobacteria; Pseudomonadales; Pseudomonadaceae. RNAcentral also lists the same sequence under 3 other names.